AGUCGGGUACAGUUCAAGGGGCAGACACCCAACCCCGCCAGGACCGGAAGGUAGCAACGGUAAGUGAUCUGUUUCUGUGGGCUAGAAUACUCGAUUGGA
Molecule: signal recognition particle RNA, 99 nt
Filed under: Spirochaetota bacterium
Lineage: Bacteria; Pseudomonadati; Spirochaetota
Description: Spirochaetes bacterium signal recognition particle sRNA small type
Rfam family: Bacterial small signal recognition particle RNA
About the family: The signal recognition particle (SRP) is a universally conserved ribonucleoprotein involved in the co-translational targeting of proteins to membranes. Archaeal SRP consists of a 7S RNA and homologues of the eukaryotic SRP19 and SRP54 proteins.
Source: RNAcentral